This 281-nucleotide long non-coding RNA is filed under the name Mytilus galloprovincialis (Mediterranean mussel). Lineage: Eukaryota; Metazoa; Mollusca; Bivalvia; Mytilida; Mytilidae. The record is from RNAcentral.
GUAAACAAAAAAUCUUUGUGUAGUGAUAUUUGACACAUUUCUAUGAUAAACAAAUGACUGAGCUGAACCAUUUGUGUUAAUUAAGAAAGUAGGGGAACACAGAAUAAAUGUGUAAAAACUAUGGAGCUAUUAAAUGUGUUCAAAGUAUUAAAUUUUCAAAGAACUUAUUGUGUUAAAAAUGGGAUUUUUUACCAUGAGGAGCCGCAUCGCAAAAGGAUACUCGGGGUUUGCUAAUUUACGGAAAAAUGAAUCACACUUCGUACCCCGAAAAUUUAACCACA